RNAcentral lists this long non-coding RNA (1850 nucleotides) under Homo sapiens (human). RNAcentral describes it as "non-protein coding lnc-TMPRSS15-19:6". The record is from RNAcentral. Lineage: Eukaryota; Metazoa; Chordata; Mammalia; Primates; Hominidae.
UUCCUGUAUAGUUUCAGACUUUGAAUCAAAUAUAUACUUUAUAUAUAUAAGGUAGUUUGUGGUGUAUGUUUAGGAGGUACCAAGUAGGAACUCUGUGUGGGGGUUCUGACCCCACAUUUCCCAGGGCUUCAAGUUGCUUCCACUCAUGGUAGAUGGGGAAGGAGAGCCAGCAUUUGCAAAGAUCACAUGUUGAGAUAGGAAGCAAGAGAGAUAGGGGAGAUGCCAGGCUCUUUGUAUUGAUCAGCUUUCGCAGGAACUAACCUGCCUCAAUGUAACAGCAAUAAGAUACUUACCAGAAUGUGGGCCAGCUGUGAGUAGCAUUUAGAUGGUCAUAAUACUGAUUCAAAAACCAUUUUUUAUGUGUAUGUGUGAAUGUUGGAUGUCAUAGCAUUGUAGGUCAACAGAGCUAAUACUCAGUUUAAGAAUAAGACAGUCAAUAGUUAAUACCUAAUAUUUUAAGAGGAAAAAAAGGAAGAACAUUGGGGCAAGGGAACUACAGAUAUUAUGCAAGUCCAAUAAUGAAAUUAACUCACUCAUCUCCACAGAGUAUACCGUUAUAAGGCUUGGCUGAAGACAAUAUGAUGCAGGAAGAGAAAAUGAGUGUUGUAAAGUUUAGUGAUUUAGAGCAUCUUCAAGGGUUUAUCAGUCAUUUAUACAUCUUUGAGGAAAAAUAUCUGUUCAAGUGUCUUGUCUAUUUACCAUUUAGUCCUGAUAGCUGCCUGUGUGAUUACUAUAUACUUGAGAAUAAUUUUACUAAUAUGCUAUAUGAAGACUACCCAAAUAUAAACAAACAUAACCUAUUCAGAGUUUCCUACAGCAAGCUUGAGUGUGACAGAGAUUCAAAUGCAGGCAGGGGAGUGAGAAUGCUAUAUAGUGAACAAAUAGAAGGUUUCAGGUACACUCUGAUUAGAGGUCAUGAGGAUGCUCAAACUCAGCUAACUAACAGCAGGACAUAUUCUGUGGUUGGUUUUGGGAGUACAUUUGAUUUUACUUGGUUGGUCAUGAGUUGGAAGCAGGGAGAAAAAUAGGUAAGCAGUCAUACGCUGUCACGACCAAGUCCUGACAAUUCUGGGCCAGUUGAUGCAGAGGUUGUGGUUUGCAUUCUUGCGCUUAUUGUGAUAUGCAGUCUGGUCAUUGCUUAUUUGUAUAUUCAGUCUCUAAGCUCUGUGGUCCAUUAUUUCAAACUUGGAUCACAAUAAAGUAAUAAGAUAUUAUUCAUCACUUUAUAGUUGUAUGUUUAAAUGAAAUAAAUAUUAGAUUAGUUGUAAAUGAAAAUGACAGCUCAAUUUGUAACUCCAUUAAUAAUUUUGUUAUAUUUAUGUGAAACAUACUCCCUUAAUGUAUAUUUCCAAACACUCUCAUUAGCUAUCUCUUCACUGUAUAGUCAAAAAUAAUUUCAGAUCGUUGAUGUCAGCAAGAUGGCAGAAUAGAAGGAUAGAGUCUCUCCUUUCCCCCAUGGAGACAAAGACUCAACAACAAUGCAUGAAUCAAUUUCUUUUGUGAGAAAUACAGUUAAAGGUUAAAAGUCUCCCGCACCCCAGGUGAUUCAAAACCAGCAGCAUCAAAGGUAGCAGGAAAAUUUGUGGUACUGAAUUAUCUUUGUUCUGUCUCUUGUUCAGCCCCAUGUGAUCAUAGGAGACUUCUACUCCUGGCUUCUCCCUAAAGAAAGAAAGAGAAGACUGCAGCAUAUCUCCAACAUUCUGACGAUUCAGAAAGACUGAUCAAGGGACUGGCUUUUAUCUUACCACAUUCAAAGAGCUGAUAGUGAAAGGCAACAGACUGAGAGACACUGAGGACAAAGGCUUUUUUUUUUUUUUUCACUGCAUGCAUCCUCUCACCGUAGUCUGUCC